Molecule: ribosomal RNA, 483 nt
Filed under: uncultured bacterium
Lineage: Bacteria
Description: partial 16S ribosomal RNA
Rfam family: Bacterial small subunit ribosomal RNA
Source: RNAcentral
GACGAACGCUGGCGGCGUGCUUUACACAUGCAAGUCGAACGGUGAAGGUGGAGCUUGCUCCGCCGGAUCAGUGGCGAACGGGUGAGUAACGCGUGGGCAACCUGCCCCUAACUUUGGGAUAACUACUCGAAAGAGUAGCUAAUACCGGAUACGAAGUCUGUAGGCAUCUACGGAUUUGGAAAGUUUUUCGGUUAGGGAUGGGCUCGCGGCCUAUCAGCUUGUUGGUGAGGUAGUGGCUCACCAAGGCGACGACGGGUAGCCGGCCUGAGAGGGCGACCGGCCACACUGGGACUGAGACACGGCCCAGACUCCUACGGGAGGCAGCAGUGGGGAAUAUUGCGCAAUGGGCGAAAGCCUGACGCAGCAACGCCGCGUGCGGGAUGAAGGCCUUCGGGUUGUAAACCGCUUUCAGCAGGGAAGAAGCGAAAGUGACGGUACCUGCAGAAGAAGCACCGGCUAACUACGUGCCAGCCGCCGCCGCGG